This 355-nucleotide transfer-messenger RNA is filed under the name Fontimonas thermophila. RNAcentral's name for it is "Standard tmRNA". It matches the Rfam family "transfer-messenger RNA". Rfam says of the family: Bacterial tmRNA, also known as 10Sa RNA or SsrA, is named for its dual tRNA and mRNA-like properties. Its role is to liberate the mRNA from a stalled ribosome. To accomplish this part of the tmRNA is used as a reading frame that ends in a translation stop signal. Lineage: Bacteria; Pseudomonadati; Pseudomonadota; Gammaproteobacteria; Nevskiales; Nevskiaceae. The record is from Rfam by way of RNAcentral.
GGGGCUGACCGGUUUCGACGCGGGUCGCGGAAUCCGAGGUGCAUGCCGAGGCGUCACGUCCUCGUAAAACCCGUGGCAACCAAGCUAGUUGCGAACGACGCCAACUACGCCCUCGCCGCCUAAUUCCGGCGAGCGUUUCACUCUCUGGGUCCGAUGCCGGAGAACUGAAACGUCGACUCUCAUCGGAUCGCGGGCAGGCCCGCCCUUGGCCUGAUCCGUCAGACCCCUAAGGGGAUAAGCGGUGGCGCUCCGUGCCGAUCCGGGAACCACCGCCGACAACCCAAGACCGGCUAAGCAUGUAGAGCCAAGGCCUACGGACCAGCGGACGCGGGUUCAAUUCCCGCCAGCUCCACCA